RNAcentral lists this ribosomal RNA (404 nucleotides) under uncultured prokaryote. RNAcentral's name for it is "bacterial SSU rRNA". It matches the Rfam family "Bacterial small subunit ribosomal RNA", at positions 355 to 774 of the family's 1533-position model. The record is from RNAcentral.
UCGCGAAUCUUCCUCAAUGGACGAAAGUCUGAAGGAGCGACGCCGCGUGCAGGAAGACGUAUUUCGGUAUGUAAACUGCUUUUAUCAGGGACGAACAAAUGACGGUACCUGAUGAAUAAGUCACUGCUAACUUCGUGCCAGCAGCAGCGGUAAUACGAAGGUGGCAAGCGUUAUCCGGAUUUAUUGGGCGUAAAGGAUCCGCAGGUUGUUUGGCAAGUCAGUCGUCAAAUCCCGAAGCUCAACUUCGGGGCUGCGGUUGAAACUGCCAAGCUAGAGGGUGGAAUAGGCUAACGGAAUUGUCGGUGUAGUAGUAAAAUGCGUUAAUAUCGACAGGAACACCAACGGUGAAGACAGUUAGCUGGUACACUCCUGACACUGAGGGACGAAAGCGUGGGUAGCGAAUG